This 239-nucleotide unclassified non-coding RNA is filed under the name Hevea brasiliensis (rubber tree). Lineage: Eukaryota; Viridiplantae; Streptophyta; Magnoliopsida; Malpighiales; Euphorbiaceae. The record is from RNAcentral.
GUAAUUUGGAUCUUCUUUCUCCCCUCUAACUAGACUCUGACUAAAAAUCUUCACAAACCAUGGGAAAGUCUAUGUUCUUGAAUUUCUAUAUAAGCUUCUUGCAUUUCAUGUUUUUCUAUUUUUUUUAAUCUUAUUUAUUAAUUCAUUUAUUUUAUUUUAUUUAUUUAAUUAUAAAGAUUCUAAGGUAGAUUAGAAUUAAAGUUCUUUAUUUGAAGUUAGUUUCUUUCUCAUUCAUUUUU